Lolium perenne is the source of this 1338-nucleotide long non-coding RNA. RefSeq lists it as uncharacterized. The record is from RefSeq and is a predicted model, not a curated record. NCBI's taxonomy places the organism in Eukaryota, Viridiplantae, Streptophyta, Magnoliopsida, Poales, Poaceae.
CUGGGUGCAGAUCUGUUUGCACAGUCUGGGUGCAGAUCUAUUCCCAGGCUUUCUUUGGUCUGGAGAAUGUAGCCCAGGCUGUGGAUGAGGUAGCUGCCACUGCUAGUAGCUAUUCGGAUUUUCUUUGUGCAUUUUGUGUUCCCAUCGAAUCAAGAUCACCGUGCUGUUCGUCUAAUGAACCGUGUCCUGAUCUUGAGAUUAAAAAAGAAGGAUCGAGUACACAUGUAGUUCUGAAUAGUUUUCGAUAAACUGAAACUUGGUUGGUUUGUGUAUCCGAUCUCUAAAAAAAUGGUUUGGAGGGAUAGUAGCUCACUGGUGAAACUACUAAAAUCUUUCUCUUGGAUAUUUUGAGCAUAAGUUGGCACAAAGUGUAUCUAGGCAUGUAAAACGUAAUACUCUGAAAUGAGGAGCUGUAUGGUUCAGUAAAUACUCCUUCUGGUGAGUGUCCUUGCCGUUCAUCCUUAUCCAGGUGAAUCUUUUUUUUCCCAGUUAUUCUUCUGUCCAUAAUCUCAGGCCAAAUGAAAGUAUAUGUUCUUGUCUUCCAGCAUUUCAUUGCAUACCAUAGAUGAUUGUCUUGUCUCUUUCUUGGUUCACAUUGACAACUGCUUGUUGCUUUGUUGCAAAGUACAUAUUUAUCUCAAAGUUAUAUUUUAAAUAUCAGCUAGAACUUGUGUUUUCAAGAAAGGAUAAACAUGUUUUGGAAAUUGUUAAUUCCGUGUACCUUGUUUUUGUAUAAAAAAUGUCAGCAUAAUUGCAAAGAUGACACAGUUCCGUGACAUGGAAUUGAAAGCUGAUAUUUGUUUUUCCAAACUCCAGUAUGAUGAGUGUUUUAUGGAUUCUGAUGUCGUUGUUGAGAGGGAAUGGAGCUUUCACAGGGAGCUGGCUAGAUGAAUUGUAUUCUGUAGCUACACAGGGAGCUUUUAUAUAUUGGCCAAUGCAUUCUUUUAGCAGAUUAAUAUCGUAUUCUAGAGUUCGUAGCCAACAAGCAUGAACAUCUGUAGAAAACAUCGAUAUCUUUUCUUUCUGCAAAACAUCAGUAGAAAACAUGUGUUAAGACAUAAGCAUGUCUUAACAUAUGGGAUAUUGAUUUGGUUCCGUUAUCUUACUUGCAGCUUUUAUUUUCAAGUUUCGACCAUAACAUGCUAUACUAAGCAGCAACCAUCUUCUGAGCAACUUUUACUUGAAGUCUUGGACCAUAAUGUUGUACUCAUCAGAAUCAUGGGCAGGUCGACAUCAACCUAUUUUUGAUGCUGCUUGCUUACUCAACAUGUAGUAUAUUAGUAGCUUAUGUAAUGUUAAAAUAAUUAUUAUAGAUGCAGUAACAUGUAUUAGUGCAUA